Molecule: non-coding RNA, 148 nt
Organism: Pan troglodytes (chimpanzee)
Lineage: Eukaryota; Metazoa; Chordata; Mammalia; Primates; Hominidae
Rfam family: Metazoan signal recognition particle RNA
About the family: The signal recognition particle (SRP) is a universally conserved ribonucleoprotein. It is involved in the co-translational targeting of proteins to membranes.
Source: Rfam
GCUGGGCGUGGUGGCGCACGUCUGUAAUCCCAGCUACUUGGGAGGCUGAGGCAGGAGAAUUGCUUGAACCUGGGAGGUGGAGGUUGCAGUGAGCCAAGAUCGUGCCACUGCACUCCAGCCUGGGUGACAAAGCAAGACUCCAUCUCAC